CCUGCUGUAAUCAUGCGUAUCAACAAACGGAUGAAAUCCAGCAGAAAUGGCUUUAGAUAUGGCCUGUGUGAAAUCGUCAGGAAUUGGAAUUUGGGUGGUCUCAGAUAGCCCUACCAUUCUGAAGCCCACUAGAGAAUGGCACCAUGGAGGGUUAUGACCCCAAAAGUUUUGCUUGCUCUAUUUUGACCACCAGAGUCGAGCUGUUUGGGAAUGCAGCUCUAAGGUGGAUGACAUCCAGAGCUAAUAUCGGCGACAACCCGAAAGCAAAAAACACCAGUGAUG
Molecule: non-coding RNA, 282 nt
Filed under: Metschnikowia bicuspidata var. bicuspidata NRRL YB-4993
Lineage: Eukaryota; Fungi; Ascomycota; Pichiomycetes; Serinales; Metschnikowiaceae
Description: Eukaryotic large subunit ribosomal RNA
Rfam family: Eukaryotic large subunit ribosomal RNA
Source: Rfam by way of RNAcentral